RNAcentral lists this ribosomal RNA (523 nucleotides) under uncultured bacterium. Its description in RNAcentral is "partial 16S ribosomal RNA". It matches the Rfam family "Bacterial small subunit ribosomal RNA", at positions 28 to 523 of the family's 1533-position model. The record is from RNAcentral.
GACGAACGCUGGCGGCGUGCCUAAUACAUGCAAGUCGAACGCUUUUUCUUUCACCGGAGCUUGCUCCACCGAAAGAAAAAGAGUGGCGAACGGGUGAGUAACACGUGGGUAACCUGCCCAUCAGAAGGGGAUAACACUUGGGAACAGGUGCUAAUACCGUAUAACACUAUUUUCCGCAUGGAAGAAAGUUGAAAGGCGCUUUUGCGUCACUGAUGGAUGGACCCGCGGUGCAUUAGCUAGUUGGUGAGGUAACGGCUCACCAAGGCAACGAUGCAUAGCCGACCUGAGAGGGGGAUCGGCCACACUGGGACUGAGACACGGCCCAGACUCCUACGGGAGGCAGCAGUAGGGAAUCUUCGGCAAUGGACGAAAGUCUGACCGAGCAACGCCGCGUGAGUGAAGAAGGUUUUCGGAUCGUAAAACUCUGUUGUUAGAGAAGAACAAGGAUGAGAGUAAAACGUUCAUCCCUUGACGGUAUCUAACCAGAAAGCCACGGCUAACUACGUGCCAGCCGCCGCAGUAA